AACAGUAGUCUCGGUCAGAAAAUAAAGGCAGACUGAAGCCCUUGGACAUCAAAGUUAUGAAACUGCUACACGAGAAAGUCAACGUCAUCCCUCUGAUCGCGAAAGCUGACUCCCUCACCCCAGAGGAAUUUCAACAGUUCAAGAAACAGGCUGGAGGUAGCAGUGGUGUCUGAGCCUUCCUGCUGUAGUGGGCUGGUAAUCCAGUAUUUUUCUUUUAGUGAAGUGGAGCACCAUUUGGUUGGGGAGGCUAGGCACCCCGGGUGAGGUUCCUACACACUGGGCACUGGGACACGAUUGCUGUGAGGUUUGCUGUGUUGCACUGAAGUGAGUAGUGGUGGCACCUUUAGGCACCCCUCCAUAGUAGUCUGCCCCCCCACUGAUGGCCUCUGCUCACUCUUUUAUGUAGGUUAUGUUGGGCUGAGUUUUAUUUUGAUAUUUUACCACAUCUCUGGUUUUUAGAUUGUAGUUGUUAAGGCCUUUUUUUAGAUGACUUUGUAAUAGAAAUAUUUUUAAUCCCUUUAAUGUUUGUUUAUUGAUUCAGUUUAUUUUGACUAGUUAAUUUUUCCCUCUUCCUUUGCAGUUCCAGCCCUGCCUGUUUAUUUUGAUUAUCAAUAAAUAUUUGAUUUAUUUGGAAAAUACGUUUCUGUCCUGUUUCAGAAACAAAUCUGUGUGCCUUACUGAUCAUCCAAACUUUAAUAUUUUGAGGUAUUUCCUGGGGCGCAAUUCCUCAGAUGGCGUUGUCGGUUCUCCCCCUCACAUUACCUCGUGAACAC
Molecule: non-coding RNA, 773 nt
Organism: Plectropomus leopardus (leopard coralgrouper)
Lineage: Eukaryota; Metazoa; Chordata; Actinopteri; Perciformes; Serranidae
Source: RefSeq, a predicted model, not a curated record